Molecule: unclassified non-coding RNA, 375 nt
Filed under: fungal sp.
Lineage: Eukaryota; Fungi
Description: partial internal transcribed spacer region
Rfam family: Eukaryotic small subunit ribosomal RNA (bases 1-46)
Source: RNAcentral
AAGUCGUAACAAGGUUUCCGUAGGUGAACCUGCGGAAGGAUCAUUAACACGUAUCCAACGUUAAACCCCCCCGUGAACCUUUAUUGUGGCACGCCUAUCCGUUAGAAAGUGGCAAUCCCUGGUAAAUCAUCGCCGAACAGUUUUGAUUCAGGGACUUCUGCGUGGGUAGGACAACUGCGCGAGCAAGUGACCUGGCAUCCCUCUGCUUGUUAGUGUCUGAAAGUGUCACUAGCUCUGUACGGGUGGCGCAAUCACGAUCGCUAGAGGCCAACACGGCCGGCGACCGGGUCAAUGGGCCCUCGGCCCCCUAGGCCUGCGCUUAAUUGUGCGGCCACCAAACUCGAACAACUGUUAACAAUGGAUAUCUUGGUUCUC